GACGAACGCUGGCGGCGUGCUUAACACAUGCAAGUCGAACGGAAAGGCCCUGCUUUUGUGGGGUGCUCGAGUGGCGAACGGGUGAGUAACACGUGAUUAACCUGCCCUUGACUUUGGGAUAACUUCAGGAAACUUGGGCUAAUACCGGAUAGGAGCUCCUGCUGCAUGGUGGGGGUUGGAAAGUUUCGGCGGUUGGGGAUGGACUCGCGGCUUAUCAGCUUGUUGGUGGGGUAGUGGCUUACCAAGGCUUUGACGGGUAGCCGGCCUGAGAGGGUGACCGGCCACAUUGGGACUGAGAUACGGCCCAGACUCCUACGGGAGGCAGCAGUGGGGAAUAUUGCACAAUGGGCGGAAGCCUGAUGCAGCAACGCCGCGUGCGGGAUGACGGCCUUCGGGUUGUAAACCGCUUUCGCCUGUGACGAAGCGUGAGUGACGGUAAUGGGUAAAGAAGCACCGGCUAACUACGUG
This 468-nucleotide ribosomal RNA is filed under the name uncultured bacterium. Its description in RNAcentral is "partial 16S ribosomal RNA". It matches the Rfam family "Bacterial small subunit ribosomal RNA", at positions 28 to 507 of the family's 1533-position model. The record is from RNAcentral.